This 679-nucleotide ribosomal RNA is filed under the name Paenibacillus apii. Its description in RNAcentral is "partial 23S ribosomal RNA". It matches the Rfam family "Bacterial large subunit ribosomal RNA", at positions 2240 to 2925 of the family's 2925-position model. Lineage: Bacteria; Bacillati; Bacillota; Bacilli; Caryophanales; Paenibacillaceae. The record is from RNAcentral.
CGGGUACGGGGACCGUGUCAGGCGGGCAGUUUGACUGGGGCGGUCGCCUCCUAAAGAGUAACGGAGGCGUCCCAAGGUUCCCUCAGAAUGGUUGGAAAUCAUUCGAAGAGUGCAAAGGCAGAAGGGAGCUUGACUGCGAGACCUACAAGUCGAGCAGGGACGAAAGUCGGGCUUAGUGAUCCGGUGGUACCGCAUGGAAGGGCCAUCGCUCAACGGAUAAAAGCUACCCUGGGGAUAACAGGCUUAUCUCCCCCAAGAGUCCACAUCGACGGGGAGGUUUGGCACCUCGAUGUCGGCUCAUCGCAUCCUGGGGCUGAAGUAGGUCCCAAGGGUUGGGCUGUUCGCCCAUUAAAGCGGUACGCGAGCUGGGUUCAGAACGUCGUGAGACAGUUCGGUCCCUAUCUGUCGUGGGCGUAGGAAAUUUGAGAGGAGCUGUCCUUAGUACGAGAGGACCGGGAUGGACGUACCGCUGGUGCACCAGUUGUUCCGCCAGGAGCAUGGCUGGGUAGCUACGUACGGACGGGAUAAGCGCUGAAAGCAUCUAAGCGUGAAGCCCCCCUCAAGAUGAGAUUUCCCAGUAUGUAAGACCCCUUGAAGACGACGAGGUAGAUAGGUUGGAGGUGGAAGCACGGCAACGUGUGGAGCUGACCAAUACUAAUCGGUCGAGGGCUUAUCCAAA